ACCUACGGGGGGCAGCAGUGGGGAAUUUUGGACAAUGGGGGCAACCCUGAUCCAGCCAUGCCGCGUGGGUGAAGAAGGCCUUCGGGUUGUAAAGCCCUUUCGGUGGGGACGAAACGGUGCCGGCUAAUACCCGGCACUACUGACGGUACCCACAGAAGAAGCACCGGCUAACUACGUGCCAGCAGCCGCGGUAAUACGUAGGGUGCGGGCGUUAAUCGGAAUUACUGGGCGUAAAGCGUGCGCAGGCGGUCUGCUAAGAGAGGUGUGAAAUCCCCGGGCUUAACCUGGGAACUGCGCUUCUAACUGGCAGGCUUGAGUGUGGCAGAGGGGGGUGGAAUUCCACGUGUAGCAGUGAAAUGCGUAGAGAUGUGGAGGAACACCGAUGGCGAAGGCAGCCCCCUGGGCUAACACUGACGCUCAUGCACGAAAGCGUGGGGAGCAAACAGGAUUAGAUACCCGGGUAGUCCG
This 468-nucleotide ribosomal RNA is filed under the name uncultured bacterium. RNAcentral's name for it is "bacterial SSU rRNA". It matches the Rfam family "Bacterial small subunit ribosomal RNA", at positions 337 to 797 of the family's 1533-position model. The record is from RNAcentral.